Molecule: RNA transcript, 3630 nt
Organism: Populus euphratica (Euphrates poplar)
Lineage: Eukaryota; Viridiplantae; Streptophyta; Magnoliopsida; Malpighiales; Salicaceae
Gene name: ARM repeat superfamily protein
Exons: 25
Source: RefSeq, a predicted model, not a curated record
GGGUUUAAAAACUGAGAUGCUCUUUUCAAAGCCCCUGGUUACUCAAUAAAAACCUUCUCCAUUGUACCUGGGAAUUCCUCUCAAACAGCAAAGUAAUUUCCUAAAUCCAAUCCUUGUCGUUGCAUGAUUUCAAUGGAGAAUCAACAAGAAGCGGAAGUGUUAAUUCGGAAAUUAGAUUCCACAGAAUCAAUGAUUUCAGUGACUAUCGGCAGAGCUAUUACCACUCUACUCAGUUCUCGAACUAAGAAGCUUCAAGACUCCAUUCAUCGCCUCUCUCUCGACUCUACCAACAAAAAGCCUUCUCUCGGUUCACUGGAGGAUUCGCUUUGGUUCUUGCACAAAUACGUUAAAGACGCGAUUGAGAGACACGAGAAAUUGGACCUGAUUCUAGUUCCUAUCACUCAACAUUGUUUGAGGAAUGUAAAUUUGAAGCAUGGAGGACAAGCUAUGACAAUCAUUAACUGGUUAUUUCAAGAUGAGUUUGUUUUCGAAGCUGUUGCUAUGGAUUUGGCUAAUAUUAUCGAGAGGAAAGAGGAUCGGCAUGUUGCACUUGGUUGGUGUAUUCUUGUUCGUGGUUUAGUGGAGUAUGAGAAUUUUACGGAGCAACAUACGCUAAAUGGAAUAAGAGAUAACUAUAAUGCGUUGUUGAAGAUGCUUUGCUCAUGUAUCCCGCGUUUGGUGUGCAUAGUGUGCAAGGGAAGCACUUUGCAGGAUAGACUUGAGUUGCCGUCUCGCCUUUCAGUGUCUGCUGCAGAUUGUAUUUUGUCUAUCACAGAAGCUUUGACAAAAAAGACCAAGGUUGCUAGUAACAAGCCAAAAUCAUUGAAUUCAAAUGCAUCACACCCUAUUAGUUUGGUGUCAACUGCCAUCAAAGAGAAGAAAGUGAAACCAUCUGAAUCAUCAGAAGUGUUUAGUAUUGAAAUGGCUCACUUACUUUGGAAGCAGAUAGAAGUACUUAUCACCCUGUUACAGAGACUUCUUGCUUGGAGCAGCAAAAGUAGGCCUUUACAUGCUAAAGGGGUUGAGCAAGUGCUUAAAUGGUUACAAGAGAUAAAAAGGCACCAUGGUCAUGUUGAAAAUGAGACAGGUGGAAACAUUCUCAAAACAGAAGCCUUGCUAGUGUCUUCAUGCUGGAAGAUUUACAGCACUCUAUUGCACUUGGAAGACCGUAGAUUUUCUCAGCAUUGCGAUGAUUUAUUAAAUCAGUACAUAUCUGGCAUCCAGUAUUAUACAGAUAACCAUACCGAGGGGCAUACAGAGAACAAGGAUGGUGGUCUGGAGACUAGAAAGUUUUUCCUGAGAUGUCUAUGCCUUCUUUUGGGACGUUUAGACACCAAGAAAUUUGAAACCGCGUUGUCAGAAAAUGGUUUGCAAAUAUCCCAAGUUCUUUUGUCACAGCUUCAAUGUGCUGAUGAAGAUGUGGUGGAGGGUGCUGUUUACAUACUUAAAUCAGUCAUAUUGAAACCAAAUUCAUCUGGAAAUGGUCUGACAGACAGUAGACAGAUGGAUGCUGUGCUACCUUUGUUACUGCACCUUCUGGAUGAGCGGGAUGGCACAGCCAGGGCUGUUGUGAUGCUCAUAGCAGAAUGCUGCUCAAUGAGCACUAACAGUAACUGCCUCAAACAAGUUCUAAGCCGCCUUGCUUCUGGAAAUGCUUUGCAGAGGAGGAAUGCCCUUGAUGUUAUAGCGGAACUUGUUUCCAUAUCAUCAAAUUCAGCAAAAAAAAGUUCUCAUUUGGCGUGGCAAGAUAUUGCAAACAACUUGUUAGAAUGCCUUAAUGAUGAAGAAACAAUAAUUCGUGAACUGGCAUCCAACUCACUUUCCAUGAUCGACCCAUCAUUGGUUUUGCCUACAUUGGUUCAGCUUGUGUGCUCAUCAGCAGGGAAGGAAUCAUCUGCUUGUGCUUCCUUUAUUGCCAUGCUCAAAUACCAUAGUUCUAGACCUGAAGUUAUAUGUUUGCUACUUGACUGUCUUAGCAACCUUAACAAGAGUCCAGAUCCUUCAAACACCGCAGGAGAUGUAAGGGAAGGAUCAAAAGUGGACAUUGAUCGAGUACUCAAGUUGAUCCCAGAGUGGUCUAAAACAGUUCAAGACUGGAAUCCCUUAAUCGGACCUUUAAUUGACAAGAUGUUUUCUGAGCCAGCAAACGCUACCAUUGUUCGAUUUUUGAGUUAUAUAAGUGAACAACUGGCAGAAGUUGUAAAUGAAAUCUUCCAUCCUGUUCUUUUGAAGAUGAAGGGACAGAAAGAGAUUGAUGAAGGCUUCAUAUCCAUGUGGGAGAGCAGAACGUAUACAGACGAGGACUCUGUGAAAAUGCAGCAAUCUCUCUUUGAGCACCUUUGUCCACUGCUUAUUAUAAGGCUCCUUCCGCUGAGAGUUUUCAACGACCUCAGUUCAUCUGUUUUGUAUGGUCAAGUUCCCAGUCAAAGCAUUGCUCACGUUUCAGAAUGCGGAGAUGUCAACAUUAUUCAUGAUUGUUUAGCUGCAUUGCUUUUAAAGAGAGCAUUUAAUAAGUAUGAAUUUGAAGACGUAAGAAAACUUGCUGCUGAGCUUUGUGGCCGUAUUCAUCCCCAGGUGCUCUUACCAAUUGUUUCGACUGUAUUAGAACAUGCUGCAGCUUCUCAUGAUGUACUAAAGAUAAAAGCAUGCUUGUUUUCAGUUUGCACUUCUCUCGUGGUUAGAGGCAUGGAUUCAAUUUCUCAUCCUGCUAUUCUGAAAAUAAGAAAAAUGAUAGAAACUAUUCUAUUAUGGCCUUCUUUAGAUGGAGAUGAAGUUUCCAAAGCACAACAUGGUUGCAUUGAUUGUCUGGCACUUAUGAUUUGUGCUAAGCUGCAAGUUCCUGCAUCAUUCAAGGAAUCCUCAAAGAACUUAGGCGCAGCUAGGAAGACCAGUUACUGUGGGAAUGCUGUGUCAGGAAACUGUGUCCUCUUAUAUGUAAUCAAUCUACUUAUAAAUGAUGAAAAUGCACUUGUUUCUGCUUCCAUGUUGGGUAGUGAGAACUCAGCAUUUGAGGCAACAACCACUCUUUCUUUCCGUGUCUGCAUGGCCAAUGUUCUUAUCAGUGCUUGCCAGAAGAUCUCGGACUCUGGCAAGAAGCCUUUUGCUAAAAAAACUGUUCCACAUCUGCUUCAAGCCGUUGAGGGCAUAAUGCAUCCAGACAUCAGAGCUGCUUGCAUCCAGGUUCUGUUUUCAGCUGUUUACCAUCUGAAGUCUGCAGUUCUUCCUUAUUCAUCUGAUCUCCUAAACCUCUCUCUCAAAUUUCUUAGUCGGGGGUCAGAGAAGGAGAGGAUGGCAAGCGCUAAGCUAAUCGCAUCUCUUCUGGCCAGUGAAGAUGUGAUUGUGAAAAGUAUAUCCGGGGGAUUGCUAGAAGCAAGAUCUGUGCUCUCACGCGUAUCCUUUUCAGAUUCUUCACUUGAAUUACAACAAAUAUGCCAAAAAUUGCUGGCAUGCAUAACUUCUCCCUAAGCUCUUGUCGAAGCACUACAGUCAGAAUUGGAAUAGAAAGCUUUUUUGUUUUUGUAUCUCUAUGUGACUUGAUAGAUGUAAGGUUAAUCUCAUCUAUGUUAGUAUUAAUGAGUCAUUCACCUUCACUAGAGUUGGCCCCUCUUGUACAUAAAAUUCCUGUGCUCU